UUUCUAUUUAAAGCCCCUCUAAAAACAAAAUCAUAAACAUUUCUGCUCUCUUUUUUUCAAGCAUUAACAUACUGUCCGACGUAGUUUUUAUUUUUCGACAGCCAAAGGAUGUUUGAAUUAUUUGUGCUAGGGUGUACUGGUGUUGUGAUGUUCCUACAUGGAGCCAAUUUUUUCUUCCAUGGUCUCUCUCAUAGUUCUCUCAGCUUCUUAGGAUUUGUUGGUUGGUAAAGAAAUGUCGAGAAUGAUGAGCUAAAGGAAGCUUGCACGAACCGCCAUGCUUUUUGUAAAUUAUAUAAUAUUGGUUUAACUACUUAAUUUUUUUCUUUUUCAUUUAAGGGUAGAUAUUAUUAUAUUGUUGUGGUCCACAAUAGAAAAUGAAAGAGAAUACCUAUGAUAAGAAAAUAUAAUUAGUAUCCUGUAAAUUGUAAUCAUUGAGAGGCUUCGCCUUAUUUGAAGUGUACUCUGCUUAUUAGAUGACUCUAGACAGUUGUAUUAUCAGAUAACUUUUCAUUCUAUCAGAAGUUUGUAUCUUUAAA
This is a long non-coding RNA of Nicotiana tabacum (common tobacco), 536 nucleotides long. RefSeq lists it as uncharacterized. NCBI's taxonomy places the organism in Eukaryota, Viridiplantae, Streptophyta, Magnoliopsida, Solanales, Solanaceae. The record is from RefSeq and is a predicted model, not a curated record.